GCUGGGUAUGGUGGCACAUGCCUAUAAUCCCAGCAACUCAGGAGGCUGAGGCAGGACGACUACAAGUUCAAGGCCAGCCUCAGCAACUUAGUGAGAUCCUGCCUUAA
Molecule: small RNA, 107 nt
Filed under: Marmota monax (woodchuck)
Lineage: Eukaryota; Metazoa; Chordata; Mammalia; Rodentia; Sciuridae
Source: RNAcentral